UUUUUGUUUUUUUUUAAUGCCCCGGUUGGCUGUUCUGCUGAUUCUCGAGAUGCAGCUGAGUGAUCUUCUUUUCUUGCUCAAGAAGUCGGGAAAUCUCGUCAGGAAUCCCUUCAACAUCAUCUUCUUCCGCUUCGAAUACAGGGAAUUCAAAAUUGGGAGAUGACGUCUGAUCAUUAUGUUCAAUGGGUUUAAGAAACAACCUGCAUAAUGAUUUAGAGAUGAAAAGCUUUUUGAAAAACAAACAAGACAA
Molecule: long non-coding RNA, 250 nt
Filed under: Lathyrus oleraceus (garden pea)
Lineage: Eukaryota; Viridiplantae; Streptophyta; Magnoliopsida; Fabales; Fabaceae
Description: Pisum sativum (pea) long non-coding RNA (PSAT_LNC023832)
Source: RNAcentral